GUCAUGCUUGCACUAUUUGCAGAAUCUGCAUCCGUGUGUGUGUGUGUGUGGUGGUCUUGUCCUGCAAUAUAGGCAGAGAAGGCUAUGGCCAUGCGAUGCUGCGGCUGCCGUCAGGGUUUGAAGGCAACAUCUCAACAGGAGGGGACCAAGCCAUCAAAGCCAUCAUGUACUUUAAUUACAGACUCACGCUGACCCGGAUGGCUGGUUGGAAACUGAGCUCAUCUAGAGCCACAGCAAGCUGCUCAUGGCAGAUGACAGGACUGUCAUCAUCGGUCAUCGCUGUGAAAUGGAGAAAAUGCUGGGCACCAGGAUAAGCAAUGACUCAACAGAGAGUAUGUUAAGGAGGAGGAAAAAACUGUACAAUAUAAUGUAUUCAGAAGGAACAGCUCUGCACCCCAGCCUCAGAACAGUCAGUUCUUCUUUGGUCACUUAGUUGCAUUUCAUACAUAGCAAAAAAUGUAAACAACAAAGUUGGGACUAUGUAGUCAGAAAACAAUUUAUCACAGCAGCUCAGCAAGUAUCCAGGAGAGGGCAGUGUUAUCCAGAGAAGGGGUGGGGAGUGUUUGAUCUGAGCAGAUGUGUAUGAGGAGAAUCAUUAAACAGCAUCUGUCCACUCAAUUACCCCCUUCAUUAGUCUAAUCCCACGUUUUUUUACUCAUAGAGGGAUAAUUAAAUUCCUCAUAAAUUGAAUUGAAUUACUGUGUAAAACAAGUCACAAUGAAGGGGGCAACAGGCAUUCUAAUGGAAUCAUGGAAUGGCCAAAACAACAGGAAAGACUCAGGACUUGUGUUUAAGUUAAUACAGGCUGCACAUGAUGCAUUGUAAACUAUAAGCAGCGUAGAAAAGGUUUCAGUCGUAGUCAUCUGGACACUGUUUUCAGAAUCAAGACGUUUUGGCUCCCAUCCAGAAGUCAUUCUCAAUUGGCACAAUUGACAACUGCCAACAGAUGCCAUCUUUAAUUUAAAGAUCCACAAGGAACCACUGUUGGCAAAAGUGAGGGACUCCAUAAGCUUCCUGGUCCGGUUUUGUUUCUAGAUUCUGUUAGUGAGAAACCUCCUCAGGUCCAAGAAAGUAAUGCUGAAGGGAACUUAGUCUAGUGUGAUUAACAAGGCAUCAGCAGUUAAGUAAGAGAAUGAACUGGCACUGAGAUUGUUCCUAAAUGUUUUUCACUACCUCACUGUUUAGAGUAAUUAGUUUUAAUCACGUAAUACAAAUUCCAAAAUGUCCAGCAUAAAUAAAAGAAUGUUGUACACAGGACAGA
Long non-coding RNA from Siniperca chuatsi (mandarin fish), 1261 nucleotides. RefSeq lists it as uncharacterized. The transcript has 2 exons. The record is from RefSeq and is a predicted model, not a curated record. Lineage: Eukaryota; Metazoa; Chordata; Actinopteri; Centrarchiformes; Sinipercidae.